This 381-nucleotide ribosomal RNA is filed under the name Foraminifera environmental sample. RNAcentral describes it as "SSU rRNA". It matches the Rfam family "Eukaryotic small subunit ribosomal RNA", at positions 1129 to 1441 of the family's 1831-position model. Lineage: Eukaryota; Foraminifera. The record is from RNAcentral.
ACGCACGUGUGAAACUUGAAGGAAUUGACCGGAAGGGCACCACAAGAACGCGUGGAGCAUGUGGCUUAAUUUGACUCAACGCGGGGAAAUCUUACCGGGUCCGGACACACUGAGGAUUGACAGGCAAUAUUAGCAAUUCUUUAUGUCUUUCGGGGCAUUAAAGUAGUUGUUAUGUUAAAUAUGCUAGUCCUUUCAUGAUUAUGUGAUAGGUGGUGCAUGGCCGUUCUUAGUUCGUGGAGUGAUCUGUCUGCUUAAUUGCGUUUCACUAAGGGCCUAUAAUUUAACGUGUGUUGCGGCACUUUGACCCCUCUUUUUUAAAGAGCGCGUGUCUUAGCUUGUUUAGCUCACACAAUUAGGUCCUGAAAGCAACGAACGUGACCG